AUACGGAGGAUACGAGCGUUAUCCGGAUUUAUUGGGUUUAAAGGGUGCGCAGGCGGACCGUUAAGUCAGGGGUGAAAAGUUGGGGCUCAACUCCAAUCGUGCCUUUGAUACUGGCGGACUAGAGUGCAGGGGACGUGACUGGAAUGUGACGUGUAGCGGUGAAAUGCUUAGAUAUGUCACAGAACGCCGAUCGUGAAGACAGGUCACGAAUCUGCAACUGACGCUCAUGCACGAAAGCGUGGGGAUCAAACAGGAUUAGAUACCCUGGUAGUCCACGCUGUAAACGAUGAUUACUGGCUGUUUGCGAUACAAUGUAAGCGGCUGAGCGAAAGCGUUAAGUAAUCCACCUGGGGAGUACGUUCGCAAGAAUGAAACUCAAAGGAAUUGACGGGG
RNAcentral lists this ribosomal RNA (393 nucleotides) under uncultured bacterium. RNAcentral describes it as "partial 16S ribosomal RNA". It matches the Rfam family "Bacterial small subunit ribosomal RNA", at positions 523 to 918 of the family's 1533-position model. The record is from RNAcentral.